Molecule: ribosomal RNA, 253 nt
Filed under: uncultured bacterium
Lineage: Bacteria
Description: partial 16S ribosomal RNA
Rfam family: Bacterial small subunit ribosomal RNA
Source: RNAcentral
UACGUAGGGUGCGAGCGUUAAUCGGAAUUACUGGGCGUAAAGCGUGCGCAGGCGGUGCACCAAGCUCGAUGUGAAAGCCCCGGGCUUAACCUGGGAAUUGCAUUGAGGACUGGUGUGCUCGAGUGCGGCAGAGGGGGGUGGAAUUCCAGGUGUAGCGGUGAAAUGCGUAGAUAUCUGGAGGAAUACCGGUGGCGAAGGCGGCGUUCUGGACUGCAACUGACACUGAUAAACGAAAGCCAGGGUAGCAAACGGG